RNAcentral lists this small RNA (125 nucleotides) under Marmota monax (woodchuck). Lineage: Eukaryota; Metazoa; Chordata; Mammalia; Rodentia; Sciuridae. The record is from RNAcentral.
GCCGGGCAUGGUGGCACAUGCCUGUAAUCCCAGUGGCUCGGGAAGCUGAGGUAGGAGGAUUGCGAGUUCAAAGCCUGCCUCAGCAAUGGUGAGGCACUAAACAACUCAGUUAGACCCUGUUUCUA